UGAAACUUGGUAAUUUUCUGUUAUUUGGAAAUAAAAUCUACAUAUAGCAAAAAGGAAAAAAACUAACGCAACAAAGGAAAAACUGAUGCAAGUAUAUGUUUUCUUUCAAAAAGAGAAUCAGACAUGUAUCUACCAAUGAACCAUCCACUUAUUUUUAUAAGUGGGUUCGCACAUGUAAAAUAUUAUGUAUCGUUACAAAUAUAGAAUUUACACAAUAAUUAUAGAAUUUCUUCGAAGUAACUAGCUCCACCCCUGGAUAGGAGGUUUGAUCGAAAGUAAAAGAGAACUCUUGAAAAGAGGCUUGCUAACAUCUUUCCAAUUGCUUCCAAUUUUCACUUUCUUCAAGUGCAUGCUCCAAAGCUCCCAAAUAAGAAGCAAUGUAAAUGUUAAUUAACAAUAUAUAUCAACAUAAAUAAAUCUUGCAUAAUCAGUCAAUAGUUGUUCCUAUCUCCUUAAUACAAACAGCCACCAUCUCGCCAUUGCUCAACACAAAAAAUUUCACACGUUAUAAACUAAAAAUUAGUCUGAAAGUAAAUUACACAGAAGAGAUAGGUGGCGAAUCCAUAACUCAAAAGAAAUGAUGGAAGCUAAUUAAUAUCAUCAUGCAUAUGGUGGUCAGUGUGGAAGAAAAGAAAUGGAAGAUAUUUUGAAGAUAGAUUUAAUUUUAAUUUUAUUCGAAAAAGUAAUACGGAAUUGUUUAACAUCUUUAUAUUUUUGGUGUAAACAACUAAGAAUAGAAGAUGUAGAUCAUAGGGAGCUUGCAGUUUUGAUCUACAUCUUCUAUAUAAAGUUGUUUAUAUCAAAAAAGAAAAGAUACUAAACUAUUCUAUUUUACUUUGUGAACGAGACUAGAUCAAUCUUCAAAACGUCUACUAUAUCUUUCCAUCCAUACUAACCAUCAUAUGUAUAAUGGUAUUAGAUUUCACCACUUCUAUUGAAUAUUGAAUCCCCCUCUUCUUUGUGUAAUUUUCUUUUGCACUAGUUAUUAGUUUAUAAUGUGUGGGAUCUUUUCAGUUAAGCAGUGGAGAGAAGGUGGCUGUUGGAUUAAGGAGAUAAGAAUAUGACAAAGUUCUAAUUUUUUUUCUUCUAUUCCAUUAUUUGAAACACAAAUUUGAUGCGAGUAAGAAAUUUAGAAUUUAAAGGAACUAAAAAUUUCGAAAGUAAAUUGUCUUAAAAGAAUUUUGGUCUACAUACACUGCAAUACUAAUAGUUUAUAAAAAUCAAGACUCGAACCUGCUUCAAGGAGAUGGGAACGCCAGAAAAGCAACCACACCACAUUUAGCCCAAUAGAUUGCUAUUCUUGCUUGUCAAUUACAAAUGGUUGCCCUCUAUUUAUACUACUAAUUUAGGGUUAACAUAUAAAUAAUAAUUGUUAUGUGAGUCCCUACAUAUUUACAAAUAAGUGUUUAUUCUAGAAUACUCUAUACAACUAGAAUAUUCUAAUGACUUUUCAUGUAACUCCAUGAAAUUAUAAGAUCUUCCAAAGAUUUCACCAUAUAUUUCUAGAAUAUUUCCGAUGUAAGUCUUCCAUGUGGACAAUAUAUAAAUAAUCAUUGUUAUAUGAGUCCCUACAUAUUUACAAAAAAGUCUCCAUUCUAGAAUAUUCUAUAAAGAGCUUCUUAUGAGCCUAAAUGUCAUCUUUACCUUAAAGCUGCUUAAGAUUGUUAAACUUCACUAUUCGACUUGAUGCGCUGAGAGCGAUGAAAAAGGAUUUUCGGGGUAAUGGAGACCAGGAAAGAGGGAAGCUUCAAUUAGAAUAUUCUAAGGCUUUUUCAUGUAAAUCCAUGAAAUUCUAAAAUCUUCCUAAGAUUUCUAGAAUAUUCCAUUAAGGAUUCUUCUUCUUCCAAUGUAAGUCCUCCAUUUGGACAAAUUCAUGCCAUAUAACGCCUAAGAGAUAUGAUGGCAUGGCAAAACAUGACAUUAGAGGUUGAUAGGUUUUGUUGAAAAGUAAGAAAAUUCUUCUUUAAUUUUUGGGCUUUACAGUGACAGCAAGUGUUGGUAUGUGUUGUGGCCUUUUGUCUCACAUAACCGUUUGAUAAUCUCUGACAUCUACUAGAUAUAAUAAUAUCUUAAUUACCGUAAACCAUCAUAAACCAAAAAAAUAAAUAACACAUUUGGUCAUAACAAUACAAAAAAACACUUACAUAGAAGAAAAAUAAAGUUCAUUAGAAUCCGGACAUAUCUCUUUUUCUAGCAAAUGAGUUGGCGUAAGUAAGAUCUGAUAGUAACAAUGCCAUUAUUUUGUGAGGUAUUUUUAUAUUUCUUAAAAGGAAAAAAUUAAUAACAGUUCACUUUGAUACAAUAGAGAAAUAGAAGAAAAAAAAUGGUACUAUCAACAAAAUUACAGAGAUACAUGAAGUCAACUUAGGAUAAAUAUAAUUAUUAUGACAUCAAACGGAGUUUCAUGAUGAUGCUUGAAAUAGGGGAUUGAUCUAUGAUUAGAGUGCUUGUAAGAUAGGGAUUAGAGUUAGUUGAUAAGAAGAGAUUAGAUAUGAGCUUGAAAUUAAAAAAUAUCUAUAUUUUCUUAAAUUGCUAUAUUUUGAGAAGUGUGAUUAUAUUGUGUUAUUAGUUAAAAAUAUCUUUAAAACUGAUACUUUGGAAUCAUAUUUCCUCAUAUGAUAAUCUCUCAUUUGCUUCUUCUCCUUUUGGAGCCUCCUCAUCGACAUGCAUCGAACGAGAUCACUUUUGAUAAGGAGGUAUUUUUAUCCUCCCUAGUCUCUAUCUACUUUCACCUCGAUUCUGAAAUGUGUUGCUUAGUCAGAAUAUUCAGAACUAAUUAUGAAAAUAUUUUAAUUAUUGUUCUUUCUUUUUGAUGAACCCCUCACCCAACUGCAAACCUAGUGGUGCAUGGCUUUUUUACUUUUAGAGUGCAUCACUUCACUUGAGUGUUGUAUAACUUAACCUUUCACACUAAUAGUGGUACUAUUUAUUGUUUCUUGUAUCCAAAUUGUUGUUCUAUUUUGUUGUAGUUACUAGUCCUUUUAAGAAUGUUUGUCAUUUUUUAUUGAGAAAAUACAUCAAAUUCCUCCUGAACUUGGCAGCACAACUUACUUUAGCACUUAAACUACACGAGCGUUUAAAUAUGCCCCCCUUAACAUCUUUGAAGUGAAUUAAAUACAAUCCUGAGAGUAGAUUACCACUCUCACCUGUCACAUCAUAGUCAUGUAAGUGCCACAUCACAACCAUGUAAGCAUCACAUCAUUAAUUUUCAAUCUUUUUUUUUUUUGCUUAUUCACCCCUUUUUCUUAAAUAUUUUUAAAAAUUCAUUACACUAAUCAAUUAAUUAAAAAUGCAUUUUAAAAUCAAAAUUUCCCCACCUUCUUCCACCCCUUCUCUUCUACCCCCCCCCCCACCCCCUCUCUUUCUUCUUUUUUUGAUUUUCACCAUUUUCAGCCUUCACUGGCUUAUUUUUUUCCGGACCAUUUCUAGCCUUCAAUAGUGUUAGUUAUUGUUUUUCUCUUUCAGUUGUUAGCUAGUGUUUUAGCUGAUCGAGUCUUUAGCAAAUAAGUAGGUUGUUGAAUAGAAGUAGGAGAAUCAUUUUAGUUUGUUAGUAGUUGAGUAAUCGUAGGAGUUAGUGGAUUGCUACGUUAUUUUUCCGUGAAUAAAACUCUAUCUAAAGAGUUCACUUGAUGUACUUCAAAGACACGAUCUAUAUUUUGCCAACUGAAUAGAGUUCACAUUUUUCUUCUCAUCUCUAUUUUUUCCAUCAGUGGUAUCAGCGCCAGGUUAAAACCUUUGAACUUUUGUGAGAGAAACGCAUAAGAAAAAUUGCAGCAGCAAGUGAACUUAUGGCUUCAGAAAACUUUGUGCAUGUAUCCAUUCCUCGUUUUGAUGGUCACUAUGAUCAUUGGAGCAUGUGGAUGGAGAAUUUUCUAAGAUCAAAGGAGUAUUGGCAAGUGGUUGUGGAUGGCAUACCAAAACCAGCAGAAAGCACAGCAGUGUCAGACGCACAAAAAGCAUAAGCAUAGGCAGCAAAGUUAAAGGACCUUAAGGCAAAGAAUUAUCUUUUCCAAGCAAUUGAUCAUUCAAUCUUGGAAACUAUUCUUUCUAAAGACACUUCUAAGCAGAUUUGGGACUCUAUGAAGAAGAAAUAUCAAGGAUCAACAAGGGCAAAGAGGCAGCAGCUUCAAGCACUUCGUUUGGAGUUUGAAACUCUUUGGAUGAAAUCGAGAGAGUCAGUUACUGACUAUUUUUCACGGGUGAUGACAAUCGUCAACAAGAUGCGGAUCCACGGUGACAAGUCAAAUAAAGUUACAAUUGUUGAAAAGAUUCUUCGAAAAAUGACACCAAAAUUUAACUUAGUCGUUUGUUCUAUUGAAGAAUCUCAUGAUAUUGAUAUGCUUUCAAUUAAUGAAUUACAAAGCUCUUUGUUGAUUCACGAGAAAAAAAUUACUCAACAAGAAAAGUAGGAGGUGGCAUUGAGUGCCUCAACAGAUGAUUGUUCCGGAGGACAAAGGUAUAACAGAGGUAAUGGUAGAGGUAGAGGCCGAGGCAAUAGUGUUUAUCAUAGAAAUCGUCAACAACGUCAAAACCAUGAUAAUCAAGGCAGAUGAAAGGGGCGAAGUGGCUACAACUCACAGUCAUGGGACAAGUCUAAAGUUGAAUGUUACAGAUGCCACAAAUUCAGUCAUUAUAAAUCAGAAUGCCGAACAAACUUGUCUAAGUUGUGUAGAGAGGAAUCUAAUUUUGCACAAACGAAGGAAGAAGAAGAGGUUUCACUUUUGAUGGCAUAUCAUUCCAAAGAGAAAGUUUCCACUAAUUUAUGGUAUCUCGAUACCGGCUGCAGUAAUCACAUGUCUGGGCAAAAAGAGGAAUUUUCAGAGUUGGAUAAAACUUUUCGAGGUACUGUGAGAUUUGGAGAUAACUCAGUGGUCUCUGCCAUGGGAAAAAGGGAAGGUACAAGUCUCAACCAAAAAUAACUCUAUUCAUACCAUAGGUGAUGUGUUUUAUGUUCCUGCUUUGAAGGCAAAUUUAUUAAGUGCUGGGCAACUUCAAGAAGAUGGAUAUGAAAUUAAUAUCAAAGGUGGAGUGUGUAAGAUACGAGAUUCUUAUUUGGGGUAGAUCGCUCAGAUUAACAUGUCAAAUCGCUUGUUCCCGUUACAUCUUCGCAACUCCACAAAAUCUUAUUUUUCUGCAAAAGUGAAAGUUGAUGCCUGGUUGUGACAUUUUCGUUAUGGGCACCUUAAUUUUAAUGGACUGAGAACUCUACAUCAGAAGAAAAUGGUGAAUGGUCUUCCUCAAAUUGCAGCUCCUUCAGGAACUUGUGAAAGUUGGGUUGUUAGGAAACAACCUCGCAGUCCAUUUCCAUAAGGCAAAUCUAGGAGAGCAAAGGCGUUGUUGGAAUUGGUGCACUCAGAUCUCUGUGGACCAAUAAAUCCAAAUUCAAAUGGUGGUAAAAGGUACUUCAUAACCUUCAUUGAUGACUUUAGUCGGAAAACAUGGGUAUAUUUUUUUUACAAGAAAAGUCUGAAGCGUUUGACAUUUUUAAACGUUUUAAAGUACUUAUUGAGAAAGAAACUGGUAGUCCAUUGAAAGUUCUUCGUACUGAUCGUGGAGGAGAGUUCAAUUCUCAAGAAUUUGCAAAUUUUUGUGAGGAAAAUGGAAUCAAGAGGCAACUUACAACAGCUUACACACCUCCGCAAAAUGGUGUUUGUGAGCGGAAGAAUCACACAAUCCUCAAUAUGGUGCGCAACAUUUUGACAAGGAGUGGUGUCUCUAAAAGAUUUUGGCCAGAAGCUGUUGACUGGAGCAUUCAUAGUUUAAACAGAAGUCCCAACUUUCUCUGUUCAAAAUAUGACUCUGGAGGAGGCAUGAAGCCGACAAAAACCAAGUGUCGGCUAUUUCAGAAUCUUCGGAUGUGUGACAUAUGCUCAUGUUUCAGAUUAGAAAAGGAUCAAGCUAGAUGAUAAAGGAGAAAAAUGCAUUUUUCUUGGUGUUAGUAAUCAAUCUAAGGCUUAUAAGUUAUAUAACCCUAUCACCAAGAAAAUUGUCAUUAGCCGUGAUGUAAUUUUUGAUGAAGAUGCUACUUGGUCAUGGAAGGACAAAGGAGAUCAACAGCUUGUUCCAGUAGCUUUUAAAGAGGAAACGCUGCAACUGGAAAAUUCAAAUCCAAUUUAAUCACCGAUUUCAGUUCCUACACAAGAAGCGGAGCGACCUCAACGAUAAAAAAGGAGACCCGCAUGGAUGGCAGAUUUAAGGUAACUGGAAUUGAUCAAUCGGAAGAUCCAAUCAUUUAUUUUGCCUUAUUUUCAGAAAGUGAUCCUACUAGUUUUGAAGAAGCUGUUAAAGAUGAAGAAAUGGCAGCAAUUGAUAGAAAUGACACUUGGGAGUUGACUGAGCAUCCAAAAGGGCAUAAGACAAUCAGUGUCAAGUGGAUAUACAAGAAAAAGAUGAACAAGGAAGGUAAAGUCGAGCGGCACAAAGCACACUUAGUAGCUAAAGGCUAUAAGCAAAAGUUCGGUGUGGACUACAAAGAAGUUUUUGCUCCGGUGGCAAGACUUGACACUAUCAGAUUAGUGAUAGCUUUGGUUGCUCAACACACAUGGCCCAUUUUUCAAAUGGACGUCAAAUCGGCCUUCUUACAUGGGGACUUAGAUGAACAAGUAUUUGUUGAUCAACCUCCUGUUUAUGUCAAGGUUGGAGAAGAACAUAAGGUGUGUAAAUUAAAAAAAGGCAUUGUAUGGACUAAAACAAGCUCCACGAGCUUGGUAUAGUCAUAUAAAUGCUUAUUUUUCGAAUGAGGGCUUCAAGAAAUGUCCAUAUGAGCACUCUUUUUACAAAGAAUGAUGAUAAAGGAAAAAUGCUCAUUGUUUGUUUAUAUGUGGAUGAUUUAAUUUACACCGGAAAUGACAUCUCCAUGGUUGAAAGUUUUUAGAAGUCCAUGAUGGUGGAAUUUGAUAUGACAGAUUUUGGAAUGAUGCAUUAUUUUCUUGGCAUUGAAGUCGUUCAGUCUGCUGAUGGGAUUUUCAUCACACAAAAGAAAUAUGCUCAAGAGAUUUUGGACAAGUUUCAGAUGAAGAGUUGCAACUCUGCCAGCAGUCCCACUUAGUUCGGUUCGAAGUUCACUAAAGAACCCGGAGGAAGAAGAGUUGACAACACUCUUUACAAGCAAAUAGUGGGAAGUUUGAUGUAUUUAACGGUCACAAGGCCUAAUAUUAUGCAUGAUGUAAGUCUUAUUAGCAGAUACAUGGAAAGUCCCAAAGAGAUGCAUCUUCUAGCCGCAAAGAGAAUUUUUCGAUACUUGCAAGGAACUACUAAUUAUGGUAUGUUCUACACGAAAGGAGAAAAAUUAGACUUGGUUGGAUUUACUGACAAUGAUUAUGCUGGAGAUUUGGAUGAUUGGAAAAGCACGUCUGGUUAUGUCUUUAUGAUGGGGUCGGGAGCAAUUUCAUGGUCUUCACGAAAACAAUCAAUUGUGACUUUAUCAACUACAGAAGCUGAAUUUGUGGCAGCAACAGCAUGCGUCUGUCAAGCAAUUUGGAUGCGCAAGGUUCUUGAAGAAAUUCACUUCAAGCAGAGUGGCUCUACUACCAUUUAUUGUGACAACAGUUCAGCAAUAAAGCUCUCCAAAAAUGUUGUUCAGCAUGGCUGAAGUAAACAUAUAGAUGUCAAAUUUCAUUUCUUAAGGGACAUCACAAAAGAUAGAGUAAUUGAUCUCAUCUUCUGCAGAAGUGAAAAUCAGAUUGUUGAUGUGUUUACCAAAUCUCUCAAGUUAGCAUCCUUCCUGAAGUUCAGAAAAUUACUUGGUGUUUGCACUUUGGAAAAUCACAUUUAAAACAAGUUGUCUGCUGCAAGCAUGUUAAACUGAUAGUGUGACUUUCAGUUUAAGGGAGGGAUUGUUAGUUAUUGUUUUUUUCUUUCAUGAGUUGUUAGCUAGUGUUUUAGCUGACGAGUCUUUAGCAAAUAAGUAGGUUGUUGAAUAGAAGUAGGAGAAUCCUUUUAGUUUGUUAGUAGUUGAGUAAUCGUAGGAGUUAGUGGAUUGCUACGUUAUUUUUUCGUGAAUAAAACUUUAUUUAAAGAGUUCACUUGAUGUACUUCAAAGACACGAUCGAUAUUUUGCCAACUGAAUAGAGUUCACGUUUUUCUUCUCAUCUCUGUUUUUUCCAUCAAAUAGUUGUUUUCUUCUUCAACAUUCAUCAAUUUUUUAUUAUUAUAUUUUAAAAAGAGCAUACUUACUUUUUCUUCUUCGAACCCUCUCCCUACAAAUCUGCCAUCGGAGAAUGAUAUUUUCUGAAAGUAUUUUUUUUUUCUUAACAACUCAAAUGAAAAAUGAAGGUUGUAUAAGAAAGUUGAUAUACCCACAUUUUUUGCAUCACAACUGCUAGAAUUCAAAAUGGAUCACUUAAAAUUCAAGAAAGUUUACAUUCAAUAAUAUGAAUUAGGUGUUGGGUUUUUUGGAUUAAUGAAUGGCUAGUGAGGUGAGAGAUGAACUUGAAGGAAACAUGACUAAUAUGGAGGAAGAAAAGUAUAAGGAGUACUUUAAUGGAGAAGACAACAAAAUAAAGAGAAAACAAAUAGAUUAUUUUUUAAAAAAAAAAAAUUGAACCCACAAACGUCAUUUACUUUUAAACAAAAAAUUUCACAUUUUUUUUAAAUUUAACUUAUAAAAUAAUUUAAAAAUCAUUAGUUAUAUAUUGGCCAAUAAAAAAAUGUCAUGUGUAUGAUAUUACCAUUCUGUGUUUUUUUUUAUCAUUUCACGCGCUUUUAGGAGAGUGAGUACAUUCACUUUGCCAUGUCAGCUCUUAGGAGGGUGGUAUUUAAUCACUUCAAAAUUGUUGAAGGGGUAUUUAAACUCUCGUUAGUUAAAGUACUAAAGUAAGUUUUGUUGUCAAGUUCAGGGGGGAUUUGAUGUAUUUUUUCUUUUUUAUUUUAGAAUGUUUGUCAUUUUUUUUUUACUAUGGCUUCUCUCAACACCACACCUUACCCCCUCCCUCCUAAUUUCUUUUGUUGGUAAAUUAUAAGGGAGAGAAAAAAAGAAUAAUAAAAGCAAACGUACUAGGAAAGAGAGAGAGAAUAUCAAGAAAAAAAAAUCAUUUUUCAAGAAAAAGAAUGUUGUUUAAUGUCAAAUAUAUAUAAAAAAAAAAACUUUUAUCGCUAAAAAGUUUAGUUUAAAAUGGGCAAUUAAAUGCCAAUUAAAUUUAUAAAUUGUCAUAAUAUGCCAAUUUUUCAAUUAUUAUACUGUAUCUGUUAUUGUUAUUGCAUAGGGAUGACAAUGGGAUGACUGUAGUGCAAAUUAAGCUUUUUAACCCACAAAAAAUUCAAGUCACAUAACAAUCUUUUGUGUUUUUAAGCCGCGCGACUUUAAAUUUUCGUUCAUUUUCUUACUUUGCUAAUAUAGAUUCAGUUUCAUUAAUUUGCUUGUAUUCAUUACCACUGAAACUCAGUAAUUUUCUGUUAUUUGAAAAUAAAAUCUACAUAUACCAAAAGGGAAAAAAACUAAAGCAACAAAGUAAAAACUUAUGCAAGUAUAUGUUUUCUUUCAAAAAGAGAAUCAGACAUGUAUUUACCAAUGAACCAUCCACUUAUUUUUAGAAGUGGGUUCGCACAUGUAAAAUAUUUUGUAUCGUUACAAAUAUAUAAUUUACACAAAAAAUAUAGAAUUCCUUCAAAGUAGCUCCGCCCCUGGAUAGGAGGUUUGAUCGAAAGUAAAAGAGAACUCUUGAAAAGAGGCUUCAUAUAUGUAAUCUGCUAACAUCUUCCCAAUUGCUUCCAAUUUUCACUUUCUUCAAGUGUAUGCUCCAAAGCUCCCAAAUAAGAAGCAAUGUAAAUAUUAGAAAAAUAUAUAACAACAUAAAUCAAUCUUGCAUAAUCAGUCAAUAGUUGUUCCUAUCUCCUUAAUACAAACAGCCACCAUCUCGCCAUUGCUCAACACAAAAGAUUUCACACGUUAUAAACUAAAAAUUAGUCUGAAAGUAAAUUACACAGAAGAGAUAGGUGAGGAAUCCAAGACUCAAAAGAAGUGGUUAAUUGAAGCAUAUGGUGGUCAGUGAGGAAGAAAAGAAAUGGAAGAUGUUUGGAAGAUAGAUUUAAUUUUAUUUCACAAAGUAAUAUGGAAUUGUUUAAUUUAACAUCUUUAUUUUUUGGUAUAAACAACUUAGAAUAGAAGAUGUAGAUCGUAGGGAGCUUGCAAUUUUGAUCUACAUCUUCUAUACAAAGUUGUUUAUAUCAAAAAAGAAAAGAUACUAAACUAUUCUAUUUUACUUUGUGAAUGAGACUAGAUCUAUCUUCAAAACAUCUACGACUCCUUUCCAUCCAUACUAACCACCAUAUGUAUAAUGGUAUUAGAUUCCACCACUUCUAUUGAAUCUUGGAUCCCCCUCUCCUUUGUGUAAUUUUCUUUUGCACUAGUUAUUAGUUUAUAAUGCGUGGGAUCUUUUCAGUUAAGCAGUGGAGAGAAGGUGGCUGCUGGAUUAAGGAAAUAUGAAUAUGACAAAGUUCUAUUUUUUUCUUCUUCUAUUCCAUUAUUUGAAACACAAAAUUGAUGCGAGUAAGAAAUUUUGAAUUUAAAGGAAUUGAAAAUUUCGAAAGUGAAUUGUCUUAAAAGAAUUUUGGUCUACAUACACUGCAAUACUAAUAGUUUAUAAAAAUCAAGACUCGAACCUGCUUCAAAGAGAUGGGAACGCCAGAAAAGCAACCACACCACAUUUAGCCCAAUAGAUUGCUAUUCUUGCUUGUCAAUUACAAAUGGUUGCCCUCUAUUUAUACUACUAAUUUAGGGUUAACAUAUAAAUAAUAAUUGUUAUGUGAGUCCCUACAUAUUUACAAAUAAGUGUUUAUUCUAGAAUACUCUAUACAACUAGAAUAUUAACGCAACAAAGGAAAAACUGAUGCAAGUAUAUGUUUUCUUUCAAAAAGAGAAUCAGACAUGUAUUUACCAAUGAACCAUCCACUUAUUUUUAGAAGUGGGUUCGCACAUGUAAAAUAUUUUGUAUCGUUACAAAUAUAUAAUUUACACAAAAAAUAUAGAAUUCCUUCAAAGUAGCUCCGCCCCUGGAUAGGAGGUUUGAUCGAAAGUAAAAGAGAACUCUUGAAAAGAGGCUUGCUAACAUCUUUCCAAUUGCUUCCAAUUUUCACUUUCUUCAAGUGCAUGCUCCAAAGCUCCCAAAUAAGAAGCAAUGUAAAUGUUAAUUAACAAUAUAUAUCAACAUAAAUAAAUCUUGCAUAAUCAGUCAAUAGUUGUUCCUAUCUCCUAAAUACAAACAGCCACCAUCUCGCCAUUGCUCAACACAAAAGAUUUCACACGUUAUAAACUAAAAAUUAGUCUGAAAGUAAAUUACACAGAAGAGAUAGGUGGCGAAUCCAUAACUCAAAAGAAAUGAUGGAAGCUAAUUAAUAUCAUCAUGCAUAUGGUGGUCAGUGUGGAAGAAAAGAAAUGGAAGAUAUUUUGAAGAUAGAUUUAAUUUUAAUUUUAUUCGAAAAAGUAAUACGGAAUUGUUUAACAUCUUUAUAUUUUUGGUGUAAACAACUAAGAAUAGAAGAUGUAGAUCAUAGGGAGCUUGCAGUUUUGAUCUACAUCUUCUAUAUAAAGUUGUUUAUAUCAAAAAAGAAAAGAUACUAAACUAUUCUAUUUUACUUUGUGAAUGAGACUAGAUCUAUCUUCAAAACAUCUACGACUCCUUUCCAUCCAUACUAACCACCAUAUGUAUAAUGGUAUUAGAUUCCACCACUUCUAUUGAAUCUUGGAUCCCCCUCUCCUUUGUGUAAUUUUCUUUUGCACUAGUUAUUAGUUUAUAAUGUGUGGGAUCUUUUCAGUUAAGCAGUGGAGAGAAGGUGGCUGUUGGAUUAAGGAGAUAAGAAUAUGACAAAGUUCUAAUUUUUUUUCUUCUAUUCCAUUAUUUGAAACACAAAUUUGAUGCGAGUAAGAAAUUUAGAAUUUAAAGGAACUAAAAAUUUCGAAAGUGAAUUGUCUUAAAAGAAUUUUGGUCUACAUACACUGCAAUACUAAUAGUUUAUAAAAAUCAAGACUCGAACCUGCUUCAAGGAGAUGGGAACGCCAGAAAAGCAACCACACCACAUUUAGCCCAAUAGAUUGCUA
RNAcentral lists this long non-coding RNA (12034 nucleotides) under Solanum tuberosum (potato). RNAcentral describes it as "long non-coding RNA (STUB_LNC009336)". Lineage: Eukaryota; Viridiplantae; Streptophyta; Magnoliopsida; Solanales; Solanaceae. The record is from RNAcentral.